RNAcentral lists this transfer RNA (483 nucleotides) under uncultured Gammaproteobacteria bacterium. Its description in RNAcentral is "partial 16S-23S ribosomal RNA intergenic spacer". The stretch from base 98 to 171 matches the Rfam family "tRNA". Lineage: Bacteria; Pseudomonadati; Pseudomonadota; Gammaproteobacteria. The record is from RNAcentral.
CCUCCUUUUUAAAGAGAACCUAUGGCUCUUUUUUGAUUCGAGCCCCUUCACAAGUUACCUAAAAUUUAUUGCAGAGCAAGUUAGCUUAUCAAUAUUUGGGUCUGUAGCUCAGCUGGUUAGAGCGCACCCCUGAUAAGGGUGAGGUCGGAAGUUCAAGUCCUCCCAGACCCACCAGUUUAGAUUGUUUUAUAAACAAUAUAAUAAUGAUAAGAUUUUCUCGUAUUAAUUUAUGGGGCCAUAGCUCAGCUGGGAGAGCGCCUGCUUUGCAAGCAGGAGGUCGGCGGUUCGAUCCCGCCUGGCUCCACCAAAGAGUUAUUUAGAGGUUAAAAUUUUUUUAUAACGUCUAAAUCACUUUGUGAUUUAUGUGAUCUUUAACAAUUAGAAUUUAGUUUAACGUUUAAACUCGAAAGAGUUUAAGCACUGUAUAUUCAUAGAGAAUAUAAAAUUCAUGAGUUCAUCUAACAAGAUGAAUAAGUUAACUCA